GAGCUAAUAGAUGCCGCCGGGCUGGGUGACGAGGUCAGAGUUCAGCAGCUCCUAGCCGGGGGAGUCGAUGUCAAUGCUGCAGACGGCCACAAAUGGACUGGUCUCCACUUUGCAUCACGGAAUGGCCACACAGCAAUUGUACAAGCUUUACUCACAGCUGGAGCGGCAGUUGACUCAAGAAGCUCCACGAAUCAGACCCCCCUUCACAAGGCGGCAGAAAAUGGACACCCCUAGUGUGUCAGAGCACUGCUGAAGGCUGGAGCCAACACCUUCAUUAGGGGCUCCAGGCUACAGAAGAAGAAGACAGCAGAGGAGCUUGCAGUACAAGAGGACGUGCUGAAGGUUUUCCAGUUGUUCAAAGGUGAGGAAUCCGUGCAGACGAUGGUCAAAUCAUCUCUUCAUUGGUGAGAUGUAUCUUUCCAGCAAACACGUAUUUUUGAAAGUAAAAUAAAGGAUCA
Branchiostoma floridae (Florida lancelet) is the source of this 458-nucleotide long non-coding RNA. RefSeq lists it as uncharacterized. NCBI's taxonomy places the organism in Eukaryota, Metazoa, Chordata, Leptocardii, Amphioxiformes, Branchiostomatidae. The transcript has 5 exons. The record is from RefSeq and is a predicted model, not a curated record.